AGAGGCAGGCGGAUCUCUGUGAGUUCGAGGCCAGCCUGGUCUACAGAGUGAGUUCCAGGGCAGCCAGGACUAUUACACAGAGAAACCCUGUCU
Molecule: microRNA precursor, 93 nt
Filed under: Cricetulus griseus (Chinese hamster)
Lineage: Eukaryota; Metazoa; Chordata; Mammalia; Rodentia; Cricetidae
Description: miRNA (ENSCGRG00001009077.1)
Source: RNAcentral